Molecule: long non-coding RNA, 3158 nt
Organism: Panthera uncia (snow leopard)
Lineage: Eukaryota; Metazoa; Chordata; Mammalia; Carnivora; Felidae
Exons: 3
Source: RefSeq, a predicted model, not a curated record
GCCACGAACGCGCCUGCGCGAUUUUCUGCAGCCCCGGAAGCUGAUCCCGCAGAGCAACGUGCGCUCUCGGGUGAGUGAGUCUCCAUUUUUCUGGUUCACACCAGCGGUCGCGCUCUUUAGUGCCCGCCUCCACCCCAGGUUUCGGGGUGGGCUGGUAAGGUAAAGUUCUUGAACCGUCUCCUCCCUCUCCCCUCUUGCGGCGUGGCUGUAAGAAGUUCCGAGUUCUUUCGCUCGGGGCGGGUCCCGGGGGUCUACCGUCGUUUCCGGCGUAAAUCGCUCCGAGGCGGAUUCGGGCCCAGCCUUUCUGCCCGUGGUCCUGCAGAUCCCGAUAUCCCUGCCGGUUACGUUCCUGCUCAGAACCUUUCUGUGAUUCCCGAGUCUCCCCCCGACCCCAUCCCCCAACUGUGUCGGGCCCAGUCGUCACUAGUGAGGUGGAUGCAGGCCGUUCGCCCCGCCACAGGGAGGGCAAAGAGGGGACACACACGGCGGGGAAAGACGCAGAAAUCUGCGGAGUUAGAGGGUCAUCAGAAGGUGUGGGGAGAAAGAACGGCGGGGAUUGAAACAGGCUGCAGUAGAGUGGGGUCACACGGUUGGAGGAGGAAUAGCGAGGGAGGGAAACGGAAAUGGACCAAAGGACAGAAGAAAAACAAGAACACAGAGAGACUUAUACAGAGAACAAAACACGUAGUGGUCUGGGCCAAAGCACAGGACCCAAACUCUGGUGAGUACUGAAUUGAUUGGGUAUGGGAUGUUACGUCGUGACGUACUGAUUUGUGGCCCUAUGAUCUCAUUAAUCUAAAACUUGGUGAAUUGUUCCAGUUAUGCAGGAGAGAUUGCGAGUUGUGACACCUGGUGUUUGAGGCAUCUGCACUUUCUAAGUAUUGCAUCGGAAGAUAAUUCCAUUUGCAACCCCUACUCAUCUAGAGGGCAGAGGCCUAGCUCAGUCAGUCAAUGAGGGAAGACUUUCUGUAACCACAUGGUGCUUUUUACAGUGGCCAUUAUUAACAGUACUGUUUCUCUCCCCCUUUUUUAUGGCUCAUGGCAUUCUUUUCUAAAUUUGAUGUAUCCUCUUUAUCUUUAAUAUCAUAAUCCAUUGGAUAGCUUUUUAAUUUCCAGAUUAUUUUACCUCUUAAUUUUAUCGUUCAGAUUAUGAGUUUUACAUGCUUUCUACUCUAUCAUAUAUUCGAAGUAUUCUUGGAUGUCUGGCAAAUAACUUUAUAGUAUUUCAUUACACAUCCGUUAAGGAUGUUGAUAAUCUUUUAACACUACCUUAAACCUACUUUAGUGUGCUAAUUUAAUAUUCAACAGCUCUCUUCUUCCCUUAAGUCAGUUUUUAAAUUACCGAACAGUGAGCUGAUAUCUCCAAAUAAGUAGAUGAUACCCCCAAGGCCCCUUUAUCUUUUCUGUAAAGAAGUUGAUGGGUGGGCUGGAUUGAUGUGGAACUUUGUUCCAACACUGCCCAUCCUUUCAUGAUUGCUCAGAGCUCAACCCCACAGGUGACCGUUUUUCAUGUUUUCCAGGACUAGUAACUAUUUGUAAUGUCAUACAGUUUUUCUGGGAAAGAGGAAUUAAAUGCUUGACUUUGAUUAAACCCAUAAAAGAGAAGCUUCUCUUGUUUAUGAGUAUGAAAGGUAAUCUGGAAUUAGGACAAGCCCUUUCUACUUCAACCUGUCCAGGCCACCAUUUCAGAAUUUACUUACAUCCAGUUCUGCUCACUCAACUCAGACUUCUUUCUUUUUUCACAAACAAGUUGGAUUUAUUUUAGGAAUAAAAGAAUGGUUUAACAUUUCAAAGGCAAUAAUGUAAUCCAUUACAUUAACAGAAAAGAAGACUAUAUGAUCAUCAGAAUAGAGGCAGAAAAACAUCUUUGAUAAAAUUCAACACUUAUUCAUGUGUGAAAAAAUCUUGGAAAACUAGGAAUUGAAGGAAAGUUUCUUAAUUAGAUAAAGGGUUUUAAAACAUUCCCAACACAAGGCAUGUUAAUAGUGAAAUAUUGGAACCUUUCCCUCUAAGAUGACAAAUGGGAACUGGUUGUCUGUGUUACCAUUUCUAAUCACACUUGAACUGGGUGUUUUAGAAGAUAAACUAAGAAAGAAAAACAGAUCAGGGUGCCUGGGUGGCUCUGUCAGUUAAGUGUCAGACUCUUCAGUUUGGGCUCAGGUUGUGAUCCCACAGUUUUCUGAGUUGGAGCCCCACAUCAGGCUCUGUGACAACAGUGCUGGACCUGCUUGGGAUUCUCUCUCUCUCCCUCUCUCUCUGCCCCUCCCCCCCUCGUGCCAUCUCCAUCUCUCUCAAAAUAAAUAAAUAAACUUAAAAACAAUGAAGAAAGAGAACCGGAUCUUACAAAGAUUGAAAAGGAAGAAAUAAGUGUUUCAUUACUUACAGAUGACAUGGCUGUGUGUGUGGAAAUUCUAAAAGUAUUUGCAGAAAAAACUUACGAGAAUUAAUAAAUAAGUUUAGCAAGUUUAACAGAUAGAAGGUCACCAAUAGGAUAUAUUUAGGAAAGGAGGUAUAUGAGCAAUUGCUUUACACAAUUAGGGAGGUUGUGAAGUUCCUCAAUUUGCCAUCUGCAGGCUGGAGAUCCGGGAGAGCCAGUAGUGUAACUCAGUCUGAAGGCCUGCGAAUGAGGAUCCAGGCCAGCAGGAGAAGAUUGAUACCCCAGCUCAAGCAGUUAGUAUAACCUUACCUGAGAAAGAAGACUAGAAGAAGAGGGAAAAAAGAAGGAAUGGCUCUUUUCCAGGGACGGCUGACAUUCGGGGAUGUGGCCAUAGAAUUCUCUCAGGAGGAGUGGGAGUGCCUGGACCCCGCUCAGAGGGCCUUGUACCGGGACGUGAUGCUGGAGAACUACAGGAACCUGGUCUCCCUGGGUGAAGAUAACUUCCCUCCAGAAGUCGGUAAUUACUUUUUGUGUUUGCAUUUCCUUUUGAGAGUCCCUGACUUGAUCAUAGGAGUUUCACAUCCCUAUUCUUGAAAGGACUGAUUGCAGCCGUUUUGAUUGAGGGUGGAAAGGCUUCGUAAUGUGGCAAAUGGACUCUAACUUCCCUUUGCUUCAGAAGUUCUGCAUUCCUGCUUGUUUAGGUGGUUGCAGAACUUAGCAGUCAGAGAACCUAAAGGGAGGGAACUGGUGAUGGGUGUUCUAUGUAAGUGAAGAAUCACUG